UACAGAGGUGGCGAGCGUUGUUCGGAUUUACUGGGCGUAAAGGGUGCGUAGGCGGCCGCGUGUGUUGGAUGUGAAAUCCCAUGGCUCAACCAUGGAAAGGCAUCCAAAACUGCGUGGCUAGAGUUCAGAAGAGGAGAGUGGAAUUCUUGGUGUAGCGGUGAAAUGCGCAGAUAUCAAGAGGAACACCGGUGGCGAAGGCGGCUCUCUGGAAUGAAACUGACGCUGAGGCACGAAAGCCGGGGGAGCAAAAAGGAUUAGAUACCCUUGUAGUCCCGGCUGUAAACGGUGUAUACUUGGUGUGGGAGGAUUUAUCCCCUUCCGUGCCGGAGCUAACGUGUUAAGUAUACCGCCUGGGGAGUACGGUCGCAAGAUUAAA
This 376-nucleotide ribosomal RNA is filed under the name uncultured bacterium. RNAcentral describes it as "bacterial SSU rRNA". It matches the Rfam family "Bacterial small subunit ribosomal RNA", at positions 524 to 898 of the family's 1533-position model. The record is from RNAcentral.